This is a transfer RNA of 72 nucleotides. It matches the Rfam family "tRNA". Rfam says of the family: Transfer RNA (tRNA) molecules are approximately 80 nucleotides in length. The record is from Rfam.
GCCGGUGUAGCUCAGUGGUAGAGCAUUCGAUUCGUAAUCGAACGGUCAGCGGUUCAAAUCCGCUCAUCGGCU